Molecule: ribosomal RNA, 466 nt
Filed under: uncultured bacterium
Lineage: Bacteria
Description: partial 16S ribosomal RNA
Rfam family: Bacterial small subunit ribosomal RNA
Source: RNAcentral
ACGAACGCUGGCGGCGUGCUUAACACAUGCAAGUCGAACGGAAAGGCCCUGCUUUUGUGGGGUGCGCGAGUGGCGAACGGGUGAGUAACACGUGAGUAACCUGCCCUUGACUUUGGGAUAACUUCAGGAAACUGGGGCUAAUACCGGAUAGGAGCUCCUGCUGCAUGGUGGGGGUUGGAAAGUUUCGGCGGUUGGGGAUGGACUCGCGGCUUAUCAGCUUGUUGGUUGGGUAGUGGCUUACCAAGGCUUUGACGGGUAGCCGGCCUGAGAGGGUGACCGGCCACAUUGGGGCUGAGAUACGGCCCAGACUCCUACGGGAGGCAGCAGUGGGGAAUAUUGCACAAUGGGCGGAAGCCUGAUGCAGCAACGCCGCGUGCGGGAUGACGGCCUUCGGGUGGUAAACCGCUUUCGCCUGUGACGAAGCGUGAGUGACGGUAAUGGGGAAAGAAGCACCGGCUAACUACGU